This 441-nucleotide ribosomal RNA is filed under the name uncultured bacterium. RNAcentral describes it as "bacterial SSU rRNA". It matches the Rfam family "Bacterial small subunit ribosomal RNA", at positions 20 to 507 of the family's 1533-position model. The record is from RNAcentral.
UGGCUCAGAACGAACGCUGGCGGCAUGCCUAACACAUGCAAGUCGAACGAACCCUUCGGGGGUUAGUGGCGCACGGGUGCGUAACGCGUGGGAAUCUGCCCUUGGGUUCGGAAUAACAGUUAGAAAUGACUGCUAAUACCGGAUGAUGUCUUCGGACCAAAGAUUUAUCGCCCAGGGAUGAGCCCGCGUAGGAUUAGGUAGUUGGUGGGGUAAAGGCCUACCAAGCCGACGAUCCUUAGCUGGUCUGAGAGGAUGAUCAGCCACACUGGGACUGAGACACGGCCCAGACUCCUACGGGAGGCAGCAGUGGGGAAUAUUGGACAAUGGGCGCAAGCCUGAUCCAGCAAUGCCGCGUGAGUGAUGAAGGCCUUCGGUCGUAAGGCUCUUUUACCCGGGAUGAUAAUGACAGUACCGGGAGAAUAAGCUCCGGCUAACUCCGUG